UACGUAGGGCGCAAGCGUUGUCCGGAAUUAUUGGGCGUAAAGAGCUCGUAGGCGGUCUGUCGCGUCGGAUGUGAAAGCCCGGGGCUUAACCCCGGGUCUGCAUUCGAUACGGGCAGACUAGAGUGUGGUAGGGGAGAUCGGAAUUCCUGGUGUAGCGGUGAAAUGCGCAGAUAUCAGGAGGAACACCGGUGGCGAAGGCGGAUCUCUGGGCCAUUACUGACGCUGAGGAACGAAAGCGUGGGGAGCGAACAGG
RNAcentral lists this ribosomal RNA (253 nucleotides) under uncultured bacterium. RNAcentral describes it as "partial 16S ribosomal RNA". It matches the Rfam family "Bacterial small subunit ribosomal RNA", at positions 524 to 776 of the family's 1533-position model. The record is from RNAcentral.